RNAcentral lists this ribosomal RNA (499 nucleotides) under uncultured bacterium. RNAcentral's name for it is "partial 16S ribosomal RNA". It matches the Rfam family "Bacterial small subunit ribosomal RNA", at positions 28 to 507 of the family's 1533-position model. The record is from RNAcentral.
GACGAACGCUGGCGGCGUGCUUAACACAUGCAGGUCGAACGGGCCCGCUCUCUUUUUUGGGGGUGGGUUGAGUGGCGAACGGGUGAGUAUCACGUGAGUAACCUGCCCCCUGCUCCUGGAUAACUGCUUGAAAGGGCGGCUAAUACGGGGUGUGCCGGCUGGUCCGCAUGGGCCUGGUCGGGAUAGUUUCAUCUUCGGGUGUUUCGGUGGGGGAUGGGCUCGCGGCCUAUCAGCUUGUUGGUGGGGUGAUGGCCCACCAAGGCGGUGACGGGUAGCCGGCCUGAGAGGGUGGGCGGCCACACUGGGACUGAGACACGGCCCAGACUCCGGCGGGAGGCAGCAGUGGGGGGUAUUGCACAAUGGGCGGAAGCCUGAUGCAGCGACGUCGCGUGAGGGAUGGAGGCCUUCGGGUUGUGAACCUCUUUCUCCGGUGGUGAAGGCCCUGUCCGUUGCGGCGGGGUUGACGGUAGCCGGGUAUGAAGCGCCGGCUAACUACGUG